Ornithodoros turicata is the source of this 1029-nucleotide long non-coding RNA. RefSeq lists it as uncharacterized. The transcript has 5 exons. The record is from RefSeq and is a predicted model, not a curated record. NCBI's taxonomy places the organism in Eukaryota, Metazoa, Arthropoda, Arachnida, Ixodida, Argasidae.
UGCGAGCGGCGUGGCGACGGACGCAACUUCACGUGACAACACCUAUCGCUUGGCUGUGGUAAACCGGCAACGUUGUUCUUGAAAAUUUUUGCAAAAAAAUGUAUACAUUGUCGUCGAGGCUUUGAGAACAGAUGCAUGUUUCAGAGAUAUAGCCGUCGUCAUAAGGAGCAAAUCAACAUCUAAAGGGCUUCGAUUCAUGGACGUCACCUACGCGGCAGCGUACGAACAUCGGUUGCAAUUUGCCGACAGACACAACAGGAAGGCGUCUUCUGAGUCAAACUACUGCGGUCUUCCUCUGCGGGUGGAAUCCCACACAGGAACCAUUAUCAUCUGCAAAGAGGGCUGCGUGUGAAGCUUGUUGAUCUUGACAAAUAUUUCCAUGAAACAACGUUCACGACUGCCCGUGUAACAUUGCUGCCCUAUCGUCAUAACAUGCGAAACUGUGGAAAAUCCUCGUUCUACGUGGAGCACCGGCCGCAGUUCCUCCGGCGCAGCCUUGGAGAUAGACCGCUGUCAUCGCCUGUCCGUGGCAUAUCAUCGUCGCCGUUCGGGACUCGUGUAGAGGAGCUCCAUCUAUAUCGGGCCGUGGACAACGACGAAGAUGAUCACGCGCCUGGAGCGCCGGCCACAGUUCCUCCGGCGCGGCCUUGGAGAUAGACCACUGUCAUCGCCUGUCCGUGGCAUAUCAGCGUCAUCGCCGGUCGGGGCUCAUGUAGGGGAGCACCAUCUCCUCUGCAUUAUUGUAGCGGGCCGUGGACAACGACGAAGAGGGCCACGCGCCUGGAGCAGUGCUCCCCCCUCCCGGUGUAACUGAUACUGGUGCUCCAGACGCGUGACCAUCUCCGUCGUUGUCCACGGCCCGCGACAGUUUCAUUAACCAAUAACCACGCGCACUCUUGGACAUAAGUUUUUCAGUUUUAAUGUGAAACACACACGUACAUGUACUCCAAGUUUAAUUAUGUAAAUAUUUGCGAACUAAACUCGGAAAUUUGCCAAGUAAAGGCCACUUUUUUACUCCACCAAAAUGAA